GAUGAACGCUGGCGGCGUGCCUAAUACAUGCAAGUCGAGCGAACAGAUAAGGAGCUUGCUCCUUUGACGUUAGCGGCGGACGGGUGAGUAACACGUGGAUAACCUACCUAUAAGACUGGGAUAACUUCGGGAAACCGGAGCUAAUACCGGAUAACAUAUUGAACCGCAUGGUUCAAUAGUGAAAGGCGGCUUUGCUGUCACUUAUAGAUGGAUCCGCGCCGUAUUAGCUAGUCGGUAAGGUAACGGCUUACCAAGGCAACGAUACGUAGCCGACCUGAGAGGGUGAUCGGCCACACUGGAACUGAGACACGGUCCGGACUCCUACGGGAGGCAGCAGUAGGGAAUCUUCCGCAAUGGGCGAAAGCCUGACGGAGCAACGCCGCGUGAGUGAUGAAGGUCUUCGGAUCGUAAAACUCUGUUAUCAGGGAAGAACAAAUGUGUAAGUAACUGUGCACAUCUUGACGGUACCUGAUCAGAAAGCCACGGCUAACUACGUG
This 497-nucleotide ribosomal RNA is filed under the name uncultured bacterium. Its description in RNAcentral is "partial 16S ribosomal RNA". It matches the Rfam family "Bacterial small subunit ribosomal RNA", at positions 28 to 507 of the family's 1533-position model. The record is from RNAcentral.